AUUGCAUUAAAAAUUAUAUCACUUGCAGUUUUGUUAGUGAUUUUCUGCAGAGAUGUUGGUGUAGCUUGGUGAUGGCUAUGGCAAAUCUGUAUCAUUCUCCUCCUUUAAGGUUAUUAGCCUCGUUGUUCCCUUGCCUCCAUUUUUAUCCUCAGCCAUGCACUGAGCAUCUAAUGCCCGGUAUAGUGUUCGCUACUAGGUAGAUAAGAUGGAUAAGAGUCUCCUUAUGAAACUUAGGGGAAAUGGAGGUCAAGAGGGUUAUCUUUCAUCCCAUUAUUAUAGCACCUUGGAAUUGAGUGCCUGAAAGAAUGUCUGGCAGAAAGCAGAUGCUUAAUAAAUUAAUGUUAAAUAUUAUUAUGGAUCGAAGUUAAUUAUGUAUGUCAUUGAGACAUUUAAAGUGCCUAGUGAGGAAUGUGUAUGUUUAUACAUGCAAGCACACAUGUAUGGGGGCCAAUAUAACAUUUUAAAAGAUAAUAAGUUAGAAUUAAAUACAUUUGAUUUGUGCUGUGAUUGCGAGAAAUUGUCAAAUGGGGUAAAAAAGAACAUGCCAUGCAUUUGAAAUAGCAUGGACUAAGUAAUAGGGGUGGAAAGUGGUAUUUUCUAUCUGAUGGGAAAGUCAUCAUUCAAGACAAGUAUAGCAGAAUAGCAUGAAGUUUAAAAAGUUGUCUCUGGAAUGAAGGACUUGGUUUGUAUGUUAACUACAACCAUCUCACGUCAUAUAACUUUGGACAAGCUAUUUCAUUAUCCUAUACUCUAGUAUCUUUAUCUCUCAUAUGAGAAAAAGAAUAAUAAAUACUUUAUAGGGAAGUGGGGAGACUUGGAUGAUAAC
Molecule: long non-coding RNA, 826 nt
Filed under: Marmota monax (woodchuck)
Lineage: Eukaryota; Metazoa; Chordata; Mammalia; Rodentia; Sciuridae
Source: RNAcentral